GACAAAUGAAGAGAGAAUAAUCCAGGAAACAGGGUUAUAUCCAAAGUUCUUGGAUAGCUAGAAUGAUGGCUUCAGGCCUUCAGCAACAUCAGAUUCUGAUAAUGUUUAAUGAUAAUCAGAACAACUUGUCUAUAUGGUCCAAAAAAUAAAAAUUGAAAAACGAAAUAGUAUCAAGAAUGUGAAAACAUCUGAGCUGCCCAUCCAUAAAUCUGUCAAAUUCUUCUGUUUAUUAAUGUUUUUGAGUGUUUACCUUGAAUUUUCUAAUUAUACAUAAUCAGAGAUUAAGAUAACAUUAUUUUAUAACUAGUUUGAUCCAUGAGUCUGCUGCCACUCUACUAUUGCUAGAGUAUGCCGUCCCCCACAAGCAACAAGUUUAGCAAUCCAGUGUCCCUCAGCUUCAUUGCUACCAAGAUUUCUGGGAGGUGGGAUGUCAAUUGGCACUUCCAGUGGUUGACCAGUUGUCACCUUCCUCCCAUAUCCCAGUCGUCCGUGGUCACCUCGACCAAACUGCCAGCAAAACCAGUUGGCAUAUAUAAAUAUUUGAAAAGGAUUACAAAAGCAAACAUCUAUAUCUGAAUAAGGCAUUCAUCAAACUGACCAUAACUGCCUCAACUGAACCAAAAUUCAUGGUUUAUCAAUUUAAUUGGUUGAUUUAGUUUGCAACAUUAUUAAACCAACUUAUUUGGAUUGGUUCUCAGCACUCCUCCAAAAAUCCUAGAAACCAAACCAAAACAACCACUCAACAUUGUCAUAAUAAAUAUGUUAUAUAACUUUAAAACAUAAAUGAACUUUAAAUUAAUAAUUGCCAAGGCCUUGAUAAGUAACUAAGCUAUGCAAGAGGCUUUGUCUCAGCCCAUAGGUGUAAGAUAGUGAGGAGAGCAGCAUUCUCUUUUAUGAGAUGAGAUUCCUCCCGUGUUAUUCUCCUGAUGUCAGAUAGCACACCAUAAUUGAACUGAUGUGGAAUGCAAUCCCAUUGUUUUUUUGAAGCUGACAGAUAAGACUUCCCUGUAAAAGGGAGAUCUAGCCCCCCUUAUUUCCCAUCUGGCUUGGGCCUUUGCCUAACAGAUGAUCUUUUGCCCCUGUGAGCCAUAUGCAGUUAUGCAGCCUAAAUGACUUGCUGGUUUUGUUGAUUUUUAAACCAACUUGUUACUGAACUCUUUAACCCAAAGCUGUUAGUUUCUAAUCCUCGGUGAUGGUUGAGAAUAUUACUCACUUGAAAAGGAGAGCUCAGUUCAACAUUAUGCCUUGAGACUGAACUGACCAAUCCAUUUAAACAUAGUAUACAGAGCCACAGCAAUAAUUCCAUCUAUGAAAGGUGAACGCUAAAAAUAAAAGAUUAGGCUAAAUCCACUGUACAUGUAUAAGUGAUCGGGGCCACCAUCUUUUCUUUUCAGCUGGACCAGGUACAGUCAGGUUAUUAGCUUAGUGAGUUGGAUAUUAAUUAUCUUUAUAAUUUCAAUAUCAUUUAUAUUUUUCUAGCAUGUUCUUGAAUUUACUUGUAUGUAUAUAUAAGUAGUUAUUAUAUUAGAAGCAUCCUCUAAUUGUUGAAUUAUAAUUUUCUAUGUUGUGCUACCUUAGGAAUAAAUUAGAGCUUAUAUAUAUGUAUUAUGGAUGUAGAAUUCCUAGCUAGGUACAGCAUGAGAAAUUCACUGACUUCCAUGAAUAUGGAUAUAGAUGGUCGAGGUAGGUACGUGCCUUAUAUUAUCGCUGACUCUCAUCACCUGUGGGGUAGGUAUGUGCGUUAUAUUAUCGUUGACUCUCACAACAGGGAAUAAGAGAGACUGGAAUAAGAGAAGCUAUUGGAUUUUAGAGAACCAAGAUUUGGGGUUGGCUCCCAAUAUGUAUUAGGUGUAUGUGUAUAACUCUAAUUUAUCCUCUCAUGUAAGGAUUGAGUGAUUUGUUUGUUUGGUGCUUUCUUAUUUAUAAGGCUGCAUUAAAAAUAGAUAGUUAUAGAAUUAUAACUAUAAUCAAUAUCUAAAUUCUUUGAGCGAACACUCAUUUCUAUUCAAUAUUUUUUCACUGGUUGCAGGGGGAGCAUUUUAAUUCAAAGUCUAAUCUGUAUUUUUCUUUGUUGGGUAUUAAAUUGUGUAGUUAAUAUGUGCAGUUUGUUUUUUUAAUUUAUUUUAUUGUAUUCUUAUAACUCCACAUGUAUGUGUAUAAUUGUAAUAAUUGUUAAUAAUGUUUGGUAUUAAAUGGAUUAAAUAUGUUGGCUUUAAGGUUGAACUGGGCUCUCUUAAUUGUGUAUUUAUGAUGGAUAAUAGGGGUGAGUUGGCUCAAAUUGAAUUAUAAUAUUUUAAUUUAUCUUAAUUUUUUCUAUAUGUUGGGGUCUAAAUGUGGGCCUAGCUAUAGGUUUGAGAAUAAUGAGGCUUACUAUUAGUUUCAAGGCCGCAAUAGUCCUAGUAUUAGUCCGAACUCAUAGAGUUGGGUCAUGACACCCACUACCAAUCCAUGGCUUGCCAUGUAAUUAUGCUUUUUACUAACUAAUGAAAGUGUUUUUUUUUUUUUAGAA
Molecule: unclassified non-coding RNA, 2509 nt
Filed under: Hevea brasiliensis (rubber tree)
Lineage: Eukaryota; Viridiplantae; Streptophyta; Magnoliopsida; Malpighiales; Euphorbiaceae
Source: RNAcentral